UGGGGUGUCUAUAGAGAGCGGGAAGCACCUGUUCCCAUUCCGAACACAGAAGUUAAGCCGCUCAUCGGCGAUGAUACUUGGAGGGAAACUUCCUGGGAAAGUAGCUCGAUGCCCCAU
This 117-nucleotide ribosomal RNA is filed under the name Pseudomonadota bacterium. RNAcentral also lists the same sequence under 2 other names. The record is from RNAcentral. Lineage: Bacteria; Pseudomonadati; Pseudomonadota.